GAAAUGCGAUAAGUAAUGUGAAUUGCAGAAUUCAGUGAAUCAUCGAAUCUUUGAACGCACCUUGCUCUCCUUGGUAUUCCUUGGAGCAUGCCUGUUUGAGUAUCAUGAAAUCUUCAAAGUAAAUCUUUUGUUAACUCAAUUGGUUUCUACUUUGGUAUUGGAGGUCUUUGCAGCUUCACACCUGCUCCUCUUUGUUCAUUAGCUGGAUCUCAGUGUUAUGCUUGGUUCCACUCGGCGUGAUAAGUUAUCUAUCGCUGAGGACACUGUAAAAGGUGGCCAAGGUAAAUGCAGAUGAAACGCUUCUAAUAGUCCAUUGACUUGGACAAUACUUUUAUGAUCUGAUCUCAAAUCAGGUAGGACUACCCGCUGAACUUAAGC
RNAcentral lists this unclassified non-coding RNA (378 nucleotides) under plant metagenome. RNAcentral's name for it is "partial contains 5.8S ribosomal RNA, internal transcribed spacer 2, and large subunit ribosomal RNA". The stretch from base 1 to 105 matches the Rfam family "5.8S ribosomal RNA", at positions 50 to 154 of the family's 154-position model. The record is from RNAcentral.